This 897-nucleotide long non-coding RNA is filed under the name Mus caroli (Ryukyu mouse). RNAcentral describes it as "predicted gene 42708 (MGP_CAROLIEiJ_G0005776.1)". Lineage: Eukaryota; Metazoa; Chordata; Mammalia; Rodentia; Muridae. The record is from RNAcentral.
ACAAAGCCAUGAGACACAGGUAGUACUGAAACCUUAAAGGUUACCAGAUACUCCCCAAGUGCCACAGAGCAGGAACAUUUUUGUGGGUAAAUGGAUAGGAAUCACUGUGUGGUGGUUAGAAAUGAGUUCUGGGAAGACCAUGUGUCAUGGAUAGCUGUGGGUGUCAUCAGGACAGAAGCUAAUGUCUUCAGAGAAUAAUGGUUCCCUGCCCCUGUCUCCAGUGUGCACUGCACACAGACGAUUGGGAUACCUCAAUCUCCUUUGCAUAUUCAGAUUAUAGACCCCCAUCUCUUAUUCACAGUGGCAUCUUCUGUUGUGACCACAGGCAAUGACUCUCAAAGCCAAUGGCAGCUUCCAUGCCUAGUUCGUGCUCUGAGACACCAAUGUGGCCACUACCUCUAGCUCUGCAUAAAACCCAGCUGGGAAGACACCCCUUUUAUCCAUUCAAACUCCCAGUAAGAUCCUGGCUGCCAGAGCCAAGAGUACAUUCACUUCUGACACAGUAGAGGCUUAUUUCUCCACCGUAUUCUUACUGUGACUACUAUUGUUUUUUACUUUUCAGUAUUUUCCAGUAUGCUUUAUGCCUUCCCAAAAUUUCAUUGAUUCCAGAUCCUAUACACACACACACACACACACACACAUGAGAGAGAGAGAGAGAUUCCUUCAACCACUUUGAGCUGUCUCCCUAUGUAUCCUCACACACUCACUUCUAUCUUGUUUGAUAGAACCUUAGUGCAGACUGUCAAAGGUUAUUUAACUUUUUGUUCAUUUUGAACCCAUAGUGAGUAUUCUACCAUCUUGGCCUAUCCAUUGGAAAAAGUCCUUAAUCUUUAUCAAGCAGAAUGUGGAGAAAUGAAGAGAAAAAAUUCAUCACAACACCUGGAAUAGAAUUAGUCA